Molecule: ribosomal RNA, 254 nt
Filed under: uncultured bacterium
Lineage: Bacteria
Description: partial 16S ribosomal RNA
Rfam family: Bacterial small subunit ribosomal RNA
Source: RNAcentral
GACGGAGGGUGCUAGCGUUGUUCGGAAUUACUGGGCGUAAAGGGCGCGUAGGCGGUCCUCUAAGUCUUGUGUGAAAUCCCUCGGCUCAACUGAGGAACUGCACGGGAUACUGGAUGACUUGAGUUCGGGAGAGGGAAGCGGAAUUCCGGGUGUAGCGGUGAAAUGCGUAGAUAUCCGGAGGAACACCGGUGGCGAAGGCGGCUUCCUGGACCGAUUACUGACGCUGAGGCGCGAAAGCUAGGGGAGCAAACGGG